RNAcentral lists this ribosomal RNA (735 nucleotides) under uncultured Staphylococcus sp. RNAcentral describes it as "bacterial SSU rRNA". It matches the Rfam family "Bacterial small subunit ribosomal RNA", at positions 63 to 780 of the family's 1533-position model. Lineage: Bacteria; Bacillati; Bacillota; Bacilli; Caryophanales; Staphylococcaceae. The record is from RNAcentral.
CGAGCGAACGGACGAGAAGCUUGCUUCUCUGAUGUUAGCGGCGGACGGGUGAGUAACACGUGGAUAACCUACCUAUAAGACUGGGAUAACUUCGGGAAACCGGAGCUAAUACCGGAUAAUAUUUUGAACCGCAUGGUUCAAAAGUGAAAGACGGUCUUGCUGUCACUUAUAGAUGGAUCCGCGCUGCAUUAGCUAGUUGGUAAGGUAACGGCUUACCAAGGCAACGAUGCAUAGCCGACCUGAGAGGGUGAUCGGCCACACUGGAACUGAGACACGGUCCAGACUCCUACGGGAGGCAGCAGUAGGGAAUCUUCCGCAAUGGGCGAAAGCCUGACGGAGCAACGCCGCGUGAGUGAUGAAGGUCUUCGGAUCGUAAAACUCUGUUAUUAGGGAAGAACAUAUGUGUAAGUAACUGUGCACAUCUUGACGGUACCUAAUCAGAAAGCCACGGCUAACUACGUGCCAGCAGCCGCGGUAAUACGUAGGUGGCAAGCGUUAUCCGGAAUUAUUGGGCGUAAAGCGCGCGUAGGCGGUUUUUUAAGUCUGAUGUGAAAGCCCACGGCUCAACCGUGGAGGGUCAUUGGAAACUGGAAAACUUGAGUGCAGAAGAGGAAAGUGGAAUUCCAUGUGUAGCGGUGAAAUGCGCAGAGAUAUGGAGGAACACCAGUGGCGAAGGCGACUUUCUGGUCUGUAACUGACGCUGAUGUGCGAAAGCGUGGGGAUCAAACAGGAUUA